GACGAACGCUGGCGGCGUGCUUAACACAUGCAAGUCGAGCGGUAAGGCCCUUUCGGGGGUACACGAGCGGCGAACGGGUGAGUAACACGUGGGUGACCUGCCCUCAGCUCUGGGAUAAGCCUGGGAAACCGGGUCUAAUACCGGAUAUGACUCCAUGACGCAUGUUGUGGGGUGGAAAGCCUUGUGCGGCUGAGGAUGGGCCCGCGGCCUAUCAGCUUGUUGGUGGGGGNGA
This 232-nucleotide ribosomal RNA is filed under the name uncultured bacterium. Its description in RNAcentral is "partial 16S ribosomal RNA". It matches the Rfam family "Bacterial small subunit ribosomal RNA", at positions 28 to 261 of the family's 1533-position model. The record is from RNAcentral.